RNAcentral lists this ribosomal RNA (472 nucleotides) under uncultured bacterium. Its description in RNAcentral is "bacterial SSU rRNA". It matches the Rfam family "Bacterial small subunit ribosomal RNA", at positions 329 to 793 of the family's 1533-position model. The record is from RNAcentral.
CUACGCACUCCUACGGGAGGCAGCAGUGGGGAAUAUUGCACAAUGGGCGCAAGCCUGAUGCAGCCAUGCCGCGUGUAUGGAAGAAGGCCUUCGGGUUGUAAAGUACUUUCAGCAGUGAGGAAGGUGGGUAUGUUAAUAGCAUAUUCAUUUGACGUUAGCUGCAGAAGAAGCACCGGCUAACUCCGUGCCAGCAGCCGCGGUAAUACGGAGGGUGCGAGCGUUAAUCGGAAUUACUGGGCGUAAAGCGCAUGCAGGUGGUUUGUUAAGUCAGAUGUGAAAGCCCGGGGCUCAACCUCGGAAUUGCAUUUGAAACUGGCAAACUAGAGUACUGUAGAGGGGGUAGAAUUUCAGGUGUAGCGGUGAAAUGCGUAGAGAUCUGAAGGAAUACCGGUGGCGAAGGCGGCCCCCUGGACAGAUACUGACACUCAGAUGCGAAAGCGUGGGGAGCAAACAGGAUUAGAUACCCUGAUAG